UACGGAGGGUGCAAGCGUUGCUCGGAAUUACUGGGCGUAAAGCGACCGCAGGCGGUUUGUCAGGUCGGAUGUGAAAGCCCGGGGCUCAACCCCGGAACUGCAUUCGAAACCGGCAGACUUGAAUACGGGAGAGGAGGGCGGAAUUCCUGGUGUAGAGGUGAAAUUCGUAGAUAUCAGGAGGAACGUUCGUGGCGAAGGCGGCUCUCUGGCCCGAUAUUGACGCUCAUGGUCGAAAGCGUGGGGAGCGAACAGG
Molecule: ribosomal RNA, 253 nt
Filed under: uncultured bacterium
Lineage: Bacteria
Description: partial 16S ribosomal RNA
Rfam family: Bacterial small subunit ribosomal RNA
Source: RNAcentral